UUUUUUUUUUUUUUCUAAACAACGAUUAGUAACAUGUGCACUAUAUAAAUAAGAUUUUAAAAAAAGAAGAAAGAACAAGAACAAGGAAAAGAAAGUAUUAGAAGUUAGGACACCAGUCAAGCUUUGGAACAAUAAUGCACAUGGUCAUCAACUUCAAAAGUGUGUUCAUGCUUAUACACCCAGCCAACAUAAAGAUGCAAGCCUAUGCACUUUUUUACUUUUUGGUGGUGGUUCUUGUGUGUGUGUGUGCCGCAAUCCUUGAAAAAAAUAAAAUAAAAGUUAAGUUCAUACAGUUGUUAAGGCAGUAUAGAAAUCCUGAUGUCUUAAGCUAUUUUUCUUGAGAAUAACAUCUUAAAAUCUUUCUUGAAUAUGUCCUCUAAAAGACUGAUGAAAUAAUAUGUGCACUAGAAAACAUGAUAUAUGUAUAAAAUAAAGGAUCAAGAUAUUUGGACAUCAAAUUGGAUGAGCUAUAGAUGCAACAGCAAAAAUUGGAAUUUUUUUUU
This 503-nucleotide unclassified non-coding RNA is filed under the name Hevea brasiliensis (rubber tree). The record is from RNAcentral. Lineage: Eukaryota; Viridiplantae; Streptophyta; Magnoliopsida; Malpighiales; Euphorbiaceae.